This 360-nucleotide small RNA is filed under the name Arabidopsis thaliana (thale cress). RNAcentral's name for it is "ATSL046780". The record is from RNAcentral. Lineage: Eukaryota; Viridiplantae; Streptophyta; Magnoliopsida; Brassicales; Brassicaceae.
UAGUUUACGUGGAGUUAGGAUUGUGAACCAACUUUGUUUUUUUUUUGAACACCAAGAUUUUAUAUGCCAAAACCUAUAAUCUUUGCAGGUCCGAAACCACAACAUUUAUAAUUAGUUUUGUUUCAAAUGUCAUUCGAAUCAGCAAUUUCAAAGAUUCGCUUAAUAUUGUGAACCAACUUUAAAGAUGUGGAGUUCUCUUAAACAGUUUUAAGUGUCUUCAUGAUACUUAAAGCAAAGAUUCUACAAUUUUAAGAUGCAUGACAAAUGAGUCCAUAAGAAUUUUGAUGAAUUUUUAAAGGUAACUAUGAUCAAGGUCAAUGUUUAAAAUAAGAAAUCAGUAAACAAGAUCAACUCAUUUAC